RNAcentral lists this ribosomal RNA (446 nucleotides) under uncultured bacterium. RNAcentral describes it as "bacterial SSU rRNA". It matches the Rfam family "Bacterial small subunit ribosomal RNA", at positions 330 to 792 of the family's 1533-position model. The record is from RNAcentral.
CCCAGACUCCUACGGGAGGCAGCAGUGGGGAAUAUUGCACAAUGGGGGAAACCCUGAUGCAGCGACGCCGCGUGAGUGAAGAAGUAAUUCGUUAUGUAAAGCCCUAUCGGCAGGGAAGAAGGAGGACGGUACCUGACUAAGAAGCCCCGGCUAACUACGUGCCAGCAGCCGCGGUAAUACGUAGGGGGCAAGCGUUAUCCGGAUUUACUGGGUGUAAAGGGGGCGCAGACGGCAGCGCAAGCCAGGAGUGAAAGCCCGGGGCCCAACCCCGGGACUGCUCUUGGAACUGCGCGGCUGGAGUGCAGGAGGGGCAGGCGGAAUUCCUGGUGUAGCGGUGAAAUGCGUAGAUAUCAGGAGGAACACCGGUGGCGAAGGCGGCCUGCUGGACUGCGACUGACGUUGAGGCCCGAAAGCGUGGGGAGCAAACAGGAUUAGAUACCCCGGUA